Molecule: transfer RNA, 73 nt
Filed under: Ixodes scapularis (black-legged tick)
Lineage: Eukaryota; Metazoa; Arthropoda; Arachnida; Ixodida; Ixodidae
Rfam family: tRNA
About the family: Transfer RNA (tRNA) molecules are approximately 80 nucleotides in length. Their secondary structure includes four short double-helical elements and three loops (D, anti-codon, and T loops). Further hydrogen bonds mediate the characteristic L-shaped molecular structure. tRNAs have two regions of fundamental functional importance: the anti-codon, which is responsible for specific mRNA codon recognition, and the 3' end, to which the tRNAs corresponding amino acid is attached (by aminoacyl-tRNA synthetases). tRNAs cope with the degeneracy of the genetic code in two manners: having more than one tRNA (with a specific anti-codon) for a particular amino acid; and 'wobble' base-pairing, i.e. permitting non-standard base-pairing at the 3rd anti-codon position.
Source: Rfam by way of RNAcentral
UCUUUUGUGGCCUAGUCGGUAGCGUGUCUGGCUCGCAACAGAAGGAUCGUGGGUUCGAAUCCCGCCUGAAGGC